AGAGCGAACGCUGGCGGCAGGCCUAACACAUGCAAGUCGAACGGACCCUUCGGGGUUAGUGGCGGACGGGUGAGUAACACGUGGGAACGUGCCUUUUGGUUCGGAAUAGCUCCUGGAAACGGGUGGUAAUGCCGAAUGUGCCCUUCGGGGGAAAGAUUUAUCGCCAUUAGAGCGGCCCGCGUCUGAUUAGCUAGUUGGUGAGGUAAUGGCUCACCAAGGCGACGAUCAGUAGCUGGUCUGAGAGGAUGACCAGCCACAUUGGGACUGAGACACGGCCCAAACUCCUACGGGAGGCAGCAGUGGGGAAUCUUGCGCAAUGGGCGAAAGCCUGACGCAGCCAUGCCGCGUGAAUGAUGAAGGUCUUAGGAUUGUAAAAUUCUUUCACCGGGACGAUAAUGACGGUACCCGGAGAAGAAGCCCCGGCUAACUCGCGCCAGCAGCCGC
RNAcentral lists this ribosomal RNA (444 nucleotides) under uncultured soil bacterium. Its description in RNAcentral is "bacterial SSU rRNA". It matches the Rfam family "Bacterial small subunit ribosomal RNA", at positions 26 to 518 of the family's 1533-position model. The record is from RNAcentral.